Molecule: ribosomal RNA, 607 nt
Filed under: uncultured Methanobrevibacter sp.
Lineage: Archaea; Methanobacteriati; Methanobacteriota; Methanobacteria; Methanobacteriales; Methanobacteriaceae
Description: bacterial SSU rRNA
Rfam family: Archaeal small subunit ribosomal RNA
Source: RNAcentral
UCCAGGCCCUACGGGGCGCAGCAGGCGCGAAACCUCCGCAAUGUGAGAAAUCGCGACGGGGGGAUCCCAAGUGCCAUUCUUAACGGGAUGGCUUUUCAUUAGUGUAAAGAGCUUUUGGAAUAAGAGCUGGGCAAGACCGGUGCCAGCCACCGCGGUAACACCGGCAGUUCUAGUGGUAGCAGUUAUUAUUGGGCCUAAAGCGUCCGUAGCCGGUUUAAUAAGUCUCUGGUGAAAUCCUGUAGCUUAACUAUGGGAAUUGCUGGAGAUACUAUUAGACUUGAGAUCGGGAGAGGUUAGAGGUACUCCCAGGGUAGAGGUGAAAUUCUGUAAUCCUGGGAGGACCGCCUGUUGCGAAGGCGUCUAACUGGAACGAUUCUGACGGUGAGGGACGAAAGUUAGGGGCGCGAACCGGAUUAGAUACCCGGGUAGUCCUAACUGUAAACGAUGCGGACUUGGUGUUGGGAUGGCUUUGAGCUGUCUCAGUGCCGAAGGGAAGCUGUUAAGUCCGCCGCCUGGGAAGUACGGUCGCAAGACUGAAACUUAAAGGAAUUGGCGGGGGAACACCACAACGCGUGGAGCCUGCGGUUUAAUUGGACUCAACGCCGGA